UUAAGCGACUAAGCGUACACGGUGGAUGCCCUGGCAGUCAGAGGCGAUGAAGGACGUGCUAAUCUGCGAAAAGCGUCGGUAAGGUGAUAUGAACCGUUACAGCCGGCGAUGUCCGAAUGGGGAAACCCAGUGCAAUUCGUUGCACUAUCGUUAACUGAAUACAUAGGUUAACGAGGCGAACCGGGGGAACUGAAACAUCUAAGUACCCCGAGGAAAAGAAAUCAACCGAGAUUCCCCCAGUAGCGGCGAGCGAACGGGGAGCAGCCCAGAGUCUGAAUCAGCUUGUGUGUUAGUGGAACGGUCUGGAAAGUCCGACGGUACAGGGUGAUAGUCCCGUACACCAAAAUGCACAGGCUGUGAACUCGAAGAGUAGGGCGGGACACGUGGUAUCCUGUCUGAAUAUGGGGGGACCAUCCUCCAAGGCUAAAUACUCCUGACUGACCGAUAGUGAACCAGUACCGUGAGGGAAAGGCGAAAAGAACCCCGGCGAGGGGAGUGAAAAAGAACCUGAAACCGUGUACGUACAAGCAGUGGGAGCACCUUCGGGUGUGACUGCGUACCUUUUGUAUAAUGGGGUCAGCGACUUAAUAUUCUGUAGCAAGGUUAACCGUAUAGGGGAGCCGCAGGGAAACCGAGUCUUAACUGGCGUUAAGUUGCAGGGUAUAGACCCGAAACCCGGUGAUCUAGCCAUGGGCAGGUUGAAGGUUGGGUAACACUAACUGGAGGACCGAACCGACUAAUGUUGAAAAAUUAGCGGAUGACUUGUGGCUGGGGGUGAAAGGCCAAUCAAACCGGGAGAUAAGCUGGUUCUCCCCGAAAGCUAUUUAGGUAGCGCCUCGUGAAUUCAUCUUCGGGGGUAGAGCACUGUUUCGGCUAGGGGGUCAUCCCGACUUACCAACCCGAUGCAAACUACGAAUACCGAAGAAUGUUAUCACGGGAGACACACGGCGGGUGCUAACGUCCGUCGUGAAGAGGGAAACAACCCAGACCGCCAGCUAAGGUCCCAAAAGUCAUGGUUAAGUGGGAAACGAUGUGGGAAGGCACAGACAGCCAGGAUGUUGGCUUAGAAGCAGCCAUCAUUUAAAGAAAGCGUAAUAGCUCACUGGUCGAGUCGGCCUGCGCGGAAGAUGUAACGGGGCUAAACCAUGCACCGAAGCUGCGGCAGCGACACUAUGUGUUGUUGGGUAGGGGAGCGUUCUGUAAAGCCUGCGAAGGUGUGCUGUGAGGCAUGCUGGAGGUAUCAGAAGUGCGAAUGCUGACAUAAGUAACGAUAAAGCGGGUGAAAAGCCCGCUCGCCGGAAGACCAAGGGUUCCUGUCCAACGUUAAUCGGGGCAGGGUGAGUCGACCCCUAAGGCGAGGCCGAAAGGCGUAGUCGAUGGGAAACAGGUUAAUAUUCCUGUACUUGGUGUUACUGCGAAGGGGGGGACGGAGAAGGCUAUGUUAGCCGGGCGACGGUUGUCCCGGUUUAAGCAUGUAGGCUGGUUAUCCAGGCAAAUCCGGAUAAUCAAGGCUGAGGUGUGAUGACGAGGCACUACGGUGCUGAAGUAACAAAUGCCCUGCUUCCAGGAAAAGCCUCUAAGCAUCAGGUAACAUCAAAUCGUACCCCAAACCGACACAGGUGGUCAGGUAGAGAAUACCAAGGCGCUUGAGAGAACUCGGGUGAAGGAACUAGGCAAAAUGGUGCCGUAACUUCGGGAGAAGGCACGCUGGUGUGUAGGUGAAGCCCCUGCGGGUGGAGCUGAGACCAGUCGAAGAUACCAGCUGGCUGCAACUGUUUAUUAAAAACACAGCACUGUGCAAACACGAAAGUGGACGUAUACGGUGUGACGCCUGCCCGGUGCCGGAAGGUUAAUUGAUGGGGUUAUCCGUAAGGAGAAGCUCUUGAUCGAAGCCCCGGUAAACGGCGGCCGUAACUAUAACGGUCCUAAGGUAGCGAAAUUCCUUGUCGGGUAAGUUCCGACCUGCACGAAUGGCGUAAUGAUGGCCAGGCUGUCUCCACCCGAGACUCAGUGAAAUUGAACUCGCUGUGAAGAUGCAGUGUACCCGCGGCAAGACGGAAAGACCCCGUGAACCUUUACUAUAGCUUGACACUGAACAUUGAGCCUUGAUGUGUAGGAUAGGUGGGAGGCUUUGAAGCGUGGACGCCAGUCUGCGUGGAGCCAACCUUGAAAUACCACCCUUUAAUGUUUGAUGUUCUAACGUUGGCCCCUUACCGGGGUUGCGGACAGUGUCUGGUGGGUAGUUUGACUGGGGCGGUCUCCUCCCAAAGCGUAACGGAGGAGCACGAAGGUUAGCUAAUCCUGGUCGGACAUCAGGAGGUUAGUGCAAUGGCAUAAGCUAGCUUGACUGCGAGCGUGACGGCGCGAGCAGGUGCGAAAGCAGGUCAUAGUGAUCCGGUGGUUCUGAAUGGAAGGGCCAUCGCUCAACGGAUAAAAGGUACUCCGGGGAUAACAGGCUGAUACCGCCCAAGAGUUCAUAUCGACGGCGGUGUUUGGCACCUCGAUGUCGGCUCAUCACAUCCUGGGGCUGAAGUAGGUCCCAAGGGUAUGGCUGUUCGCCAUUUAAAGUGGUACGCGAGCUGGGUUUAGAACGUCGUGAGACAGUUCGGUCCCUAUCUGCCGUGGGCGCUGGAGAAUUGAGGGGGGCUGCUCCUAGUACGAGAGGACCGGAGUGGACGCAUCACUGGUGUUCGGGUUGUCAUGCCAAUGGCACUGCCCGGUAGCUAAAUGCGGAAGAGAUAAGUGCUGAAAGCAUCUAAGCACGAAACUUGCCCCGAGAUGAGUUCUCCCUGAGACUUUAAGUCUCCUGAAGGAACGUUGAAGACGACGACGUUGAUAGGCCGGGUGUGUAAGCGCAGCGAUGCGUUGAGCUAACCGGUACUAAUGAACCGUGAGGCUUAACCUU
This 2905-nucleotide ribosomal RNA is filed under the name Klebsiella pneumoniae. RNAcentral describes it as "23S ribosomal RNA". It matches the Rfam family "Bacterial large subunit ribosomal RNA". Lineage: Bacteria; Pseudomonadati; Pseudomonadota; Gammaproteobacteria; Enterobacterales; Enterobacteriaceae. The record is from RNAcentral.